CUAAGGUUCGACUCGAGCGCAGCGAGAGAACGUUGCCGCAGGCAACGGCCCGAAGGGCGAGGCGCUUUAGCGCCGAGUAAUCCUUCCCCCACCACCA
This 97-nucleotide small RNA is filed under the name Klebsiella pneumoniae. RNAcentral's name for it is "partial RtT sRNA". It matches the Rfam family "RtT RNA", at positions 36 to 130 of the family's 130-position model. Rfam says of the family: This family represents a bacterial cis-regulatory element known as RtT RNA. The exact function of RtT is unknown although it is thought that it may be involved in changing the cellular response in relation to amino acid starvation. The record is from RNAcentral. Lineage: Bacteria; Pseudomonadati; Pseudomonadota; Gammaproteobacteria; Enterobacterales; Enterobacteriaceae.